Molecule: long non-coding RNA, 4978 nt
Filed under: Sus scrofa (pig)
Lineage: Eukaryota; Metazoa; Chordata; Mammalia; Artiodactyla; Suidae
Description: lncRNA (ENSSSCG00045027060.1)
Source: RNAcentral
AAAGUAUAAAGGUUAUUUGGGAGAAGGAAAAAUUAUUUCUCAAUAUUAACUCCAUAGACAAAAGCCCAAUUUUCAUAAUAAGCUAGGAGAAAUCGAUAAUGUUUUAAAAAUAAAAAGUGAACUGCUUACACUCACCAAUCUAUACCCAGUAUUAAUUCUAUCCUGCAGUGUAUGCUAUAGAAGGUAAUAAAACGCUGAUGUUUCCUAGUUUCUCGUUUCAAUCUGCUCCAGCUUUCUCUUCAACCUGGUUAGCAACAGAAGUCACCCCCAGCAAUUACACAAACCUAACAACGGCUUCCCUGGGAUAAUUUGAUCCGCUCCAACCACACAUUCCAAUCCACAUACUUUCUUCCGUUACGGUUGUUGUCUGUGUGUGUUUAACAUGCUUCUUGAAAGGCUUUUUUAAAAUAUCGAGCCAAGGAUUUCUCAUCCAGCUCGCUACCACAUCAACAGAACCAGAAUAUGAUUUAGUUCAGCUUCAGAUGACAGUACAGCAAAGUAUUACUGUCAUUUCACAUUUCUCCUCCUUCUGUGCUCUUAACUGCUGUGCACCUGGGUCGCUACAGGACUGCCUAUCAUGAGCUGAGCCCUCCCAGCUGUGGACCCUGGGGGGUGGGAAAUCUUGAAACUUGCCUGACUCAAGGGCUCUCAGCCGUUGCUUUGUCACCAACAGCCUGUAUUAACCUGCUCCUAUUGGACCUUUAUCACUUUCCUGACCCCACAAAACAAACCUGGCUGGCAAAUGCAGUGAACAGCCUCCUUGAAAAUGCAGCUUGACUGUGAUUCAUGGCCAAAAGCUGGAAUAACCCUGCCAGGCCAGAGAAAAAUCGCAGCUUCAUUGUCUGAAGGAAGAGGACUCAGGAAAAUGCAACUACACCUGAAGCAAGAUCUUUUAUGGCUUGGCAAUCCCAACCUUGCCGGUGUGAAAGGACCGACCUACCUCUGGAACCCGGAGGGCAACUGUGGCAGCAAAAUCCCAAAGUGUUGCUGCCUAUGGUGACUGUGCUAGAACUGAAACUUCUCAGGAAGCCAGGCUGUUAAAAUUGUGAUGCCCUGUACUCAACAAUACCAUGGAUUAUCUAGUCCAAAGUGGAAAGCAAGCCCUUACGGUAAUGUCAUUUGCAUCCUCAACACCCAGAACGCCCUGUUUCUCUUUCCCUGAAUAAAACUACAUUCAAAUCCCAUUGAACACCCAUGUUCAAACCUCCAUUUGUCAGCUGACAAGACCAAGAAUACUCUAAGGUGUUUAAGUCAUUCACGAGUGUCUAGAAAUUUCCAUAGGAAAACUUUGACAACUUUGAAGGCAUGCAUCUCCCCACCCAAGACCCUAGCCAACAACCAUCCUACAAGUCCGUGAGUUCGAAGUUCCCAUGGCUUCUGUACAGUCCCUGUGUCAACAUAAAGCUAAGUUUCAUACACACCCUGGAUCCUUGUCCCUUACAAACACUAAAGGUUUUGUUUGACUUAACUUCAAGCUGUUCAUCUGUUAGUAAGUACUGCUCACCCUAAAACACAUUCAUGAUGAGAGCUUUCUAAAACACCAGUAUGGCCUUCCCCUCCAAUAAUCAUAAUACUCAGAUUAGCCUAAGAUGUGCUACUGGGCAGUUUGGCGGUGGGGUGGGGGUGGUAGAUAUUUAGUGCCUGGAGCUGCCACAGAGCAGGGAAAACCUCACACUGGAACGAAGGAAGUAAUCUCAGUACAGUCCCGCUUAAGCCAAUUAUCUGUUUACAUUUGAUUUCAAUACCCUAUUGAAAACAAUGCAGUGGAGGAGGAAAUGUAAGAAUACAUAGCAACACUCUAACCUUCUUUUGCCUAUAGUUGUUAUUGCAGUGUGUUAAAGUCUGAUAGCAGGCCUCACUGUCAAUUCAUCAGGGCUUGUGCUAGCAGGUUCUGGCUAGAGACCAUCUCCGUCAUCACCAUCACCUAAGACCUGUUGGCUGUCCCAUCAGGCACUAAGAGGCUCAUGGUCUGCAAGGGUCCCCAAACAGCUGAAUCCAGUUCUCACUUAUUUCCUUGAGCUCAAUCUCACAGAUAAGAAUUAAGAUGAUCCCCAUCAUAGAAAAGCAGCUCAGAAAUGCAAACCUUUUUCUGAACCAAGAGCUAUCAGCAAAUCUCAAAUAUCAGAACAGCUCUGGUUGACUGAAAAGUGUCACGAACCCUGGGCCAAGAAUGAUUUCAGGCUCACAAACUAAUCUGUCUGGUCCUACAAUUUAUGUGAGCAGAGUCACUCAUGAGAAAACUCUUAAGAAACGUCCAGGCCACCCCACACCCCUGACGUUAGUGUAUCAGACCAGCUGAGAGUGGCAGGAUGUUAACUGCCCUCCAGGUGACAUGAAUAAAUAGCCCCAUUGUUUUCACAACCCUGGAUUCCUGCCUGAAGAAACCCUAGACCUCAGACCAGUUCUCUGGGACAAAACUGCACACAGUUCAAAUGCUAACUCUUCGAGAUAGUAUCUACGGUCUAAACCAAGAGAUAAGCAGUUACUUACAAAAAUGUCAGUAAGAAGGCCUGUUCACUUCAAAAAACAAAAAUAAAUAAAAUUUUUCAUUUAAAUAAAAAGGUACUGGAGCUUAAAUCUGUGGUCACUGCAGGGAUUAAGCUUAUGUUCUUGGUUCAGAUAACAAAACACGUCAUCUGGGCACAGAGACCUCAUAAUCAUGUUUUUGGCACAAGGGGCAGGGGAAUUUUUGUUGCUGUUUUUUUUUAAUUCAGUCUCCCUAAGAAUAUGAACAUGUGGAAACAUACAAUGAGUAUGACAAAAUUCUAAAACAUAUUACACUUAAAAUUAACCUUAACCAACAAUCUUUUGCACUCACAUACAGUCAAAAUUCUUCUAGGCAAUGAGGUAUUAAGAAAUUUCUUUAGUCUUACUGUUUGUCAGUGUUUCUCAAAAGCUAUGCAACAAUAUAUAUACACACAUACAAAAACAGGCAAUUACUUACAUUUUGUAAGAGAAAAACUUGAAGGGUCUCAUUCUUCAUAUUUGAUGCUACAACCAGCUCUUUGUUUCAAGCAAUGGGUAAGCAUUACAGCAUGGAGAUUGAGAGCAAAAAUUCUGAGCCAGACUGCCUGGGUUCCAAUCCCAACUCUGACUCUUAACUGAGGACUUGGAGUAAGUUACUUAAGAGCUCUGUGCCUCAGUUUUCUCAUAUAAAAAGUGGUACCACCCACAGUAACUACUUCCAGGGCUUGGCGUGAGGAAUAAAUGGGCAACACCUGCUUAGAACUGGGCCUGUUGCUGAAUAUUCAUUAAUAGAAAACUGUCAUUGUAUUAUAAUUGUUAUUAAGCUCAUUGCAAUAAAUGUACACACUAUCCAAAAUGAAGAUGAAUUACUGAACAGCCAGAUACAGUGAAAUAUAUCUAUGAACAGCACAUAUCUCGUUUCAGGUAACGUUUAUAUAAGUAAGAUUUUGGCAUGAAAGCCUCUGAGAUAACAACUCAAGGAGAUGGGCCUGUUAACCGUCAGUUUUCUGCCUGGUUAUCACUUGACACUUUCAACUCUGUCCUGCAUUUAAUGUUUCACACAAGGACACGAACCUAGGAAAUGACACAGAAGGGGGUAAUUGUAGUAGACCUGAUUCAUAUGAGAGAGGGUACGAAGUUCAGGCUAGUUUAAAGAUUCAUGCAUUAAGGCAAAAAAAUACUGGCAGCCAUUAAUUUUAGACACAGCACCCUAACCAAAAAAGAUAUGGAGGGAAAAAAUAGGUUACCUAUUACGAACAGCUGUGCUGAUCAUCCAAACACAUGAACCAUGUCUAGAAUUCACACUGACUACUCAGCCUCAAUAUAAGAGAACACUGAUGCCAAUUAUCUCCCUUCCUCCCAGGAUGAGAGAUUUCUCAGAGUAGGAGAUUAUUAAUUGAAACUUCGACUUGCUAAGAAGGGGCAGAGAAAAAACAGUCUGCUUGGUGAGGGAACAGCUGCCCCAGGGAAAGACCGUGGACUUGUACAUGCAAUCAUUCCUUCAUCUACUCGGGAGUGGUCUUGCACUUUAUCUCCUUCCAUGUGCACACACACUCCCACCAGGUACAUCCAACUGCCUACAGGUGCAGGGGAGCCCAUGCUCUCUCACCACAGUGCUUCUGUGAAUGCAUUUCUCCACCUGUGGGCCCCACCAUUAAGACCACAGAAAAGCCUCUCCUUCCUACCUACCUCCUCCCCAUGCAAGGUGCUUAUUCCCACUGGGUAAAUUAGUAAAUCAGUACCACCUAUCACGUGAAUUAGCAUGAAAGGGAAAAGAACCAAUGGGAAAACUGGGUCACAUUUUCAGUUUAGAAAAAAAAAAAAAAAGGGCUUUAAAAAAUUGGGGGCACUUGCUGCAAGAUCCAAAAUGAAAUCAAACGUUAAGACUUAAUAAUACCACAGAUAGACUCUUUGCUAGAGUUAAAGAAUCCUCUCUGGUCUGUCUCAACAAGGUGAUAAAGAAGCCCACCCAGGUUGCUAGAAAUGACUGCAUGUGCGAAAGCUCUGCAUGGGGCUCAUCAGGGAGCUGAUUGGGCUAAACUAAGUCUCUAUUCUAAGUAUCCUGCUCCUGAGUUCCCGUUGUGGCACAGCCAAAACAAAUCUGACUAGCACCCUAAGUAUCCUGCUCCUGGCAGAGGGAUGCAAAGGGAAGGGGGUCUCAGAUUCAGAGGCCAGUGAUUAUCUCCCCCACCCCACCUCCCAACCCCCACACUGCAAUGCUAUAGAGUUGGACAUGAAGUUUCUCCCUGCAGCCCACUUAGGCCACUGAGGCUUUGCUACCUGCAGUAUGGCUGCAGUCCAGUCCUGCAACUGAGGAGGCAGUCACUGGGCACUGGGCCUCCACCAGAGAGGAGGAGUAUGGGGGGAGUAGAGGGGCUAGAGAAUUUAAAAAAUGGUGAGUUGGAAGUGAAUCUUCAGAACUGUGACACAGGUCCAGUUGUCUUUACCCCCUCUCCCACUUCAUCUUUGUCUUCCACCUUAAAAAACAUAUAUAUAAAUAUAUAAAUAUAUA